This 116-nucleotide ribosomal RNA is filed under the name Aureococcus anophagefferens. RNAcentral describes it as "partial large subunit ribosomal RNA". The record is from RNAcentral. Lineage: Eukaryota; Pelagophyceae; Pelagomonadales; Pelagomonadaceae.
CCGAACGGCAGAAGUGGUGAUGGGCGCGUAUUUUCCGCCGGGCUCUUGGCCGGCGUACUUGUGCGCGUUCGUAGGUCAGCGUGGGUUGGGGCGUGGGAGUCGUUCAUGGGAAGGUC